Non-coding RNA from Maylandia zebra (zebra mbuna), 627 nucleotides. The record is from RefSeq and is a predicted model, not a curated record. NCBI's taxonomy places the organism in Eukaryota, Metazoa, Chordata, Actinopteri, Cichliformes, Cichlidae.
UGCCUGAAGUCUGUCCCUGAACAACAUUUUAUAUCAGACAACAGGUGUGGUUUGUUUUUGCACAGAGUAGAUUUUAAUAGACUGCGAGGUAGAUAAGACAGAUCGAGCAGGUGCAGGACAGGUUAUUUGAUUUAAGGACUUGACUUUGAACUUGCUGAUUGAAAAGUGAGCCAACACACACAAUGCCUCAACACAAGGACAGACGAUCCUCUAAAUCUCAACUCAGUGUAUGGACUAUAGUGUUUUUCCACUCUGUUAUCAUUCUUCAACUGACACAGAUCAAUGCAGGUGAAUCUCUGACAAACAGUCAGUAUCGAAUGUUCGCAGUAAUUGGUCAGACUCAAGACAUCAUCCUACCAUGCAAAUUGGAUCAUCCUAUGGAUGUCGUGGAUGAGAUGGUAGAGUGGUCAAGAUCUGACCUGAAUCCCAGAUUUGUCCACGUGUGGCGGUCAGGUGAAGAUCAUCUGGUUGGCCAAAACCCAUCCUACAAGAACAGAACGUCAGUGUCCACUGAGAAACUGAAAACAGGAGAUGUAUCACUGAAAAUUACCAAAGUGAGGCUGUCAGAUGAAGGAACAUACAGGUGCUUCAUUCCAGGACGGAAGGCAGAUUUUAGUGUUGAACUUG